CUGGAUGUGUGUGUGCACAAGGGGCUAC
This 28-nucleotide small RNA is filed under the name Bombyx mori (domestic silkworm). RNAcentral's name for it is "ovarian small RNA-14937". The record is from RNAcentral. Lineage: Eukaryota; Metazoa; Arthropoda; Insecta; Lepidoptera; Bombycidae.